Clupea harengus (Atlantic herring) is the source of this 371-nucleotide long non-coding RNA. RefSeq lists it as uncharacterized. Lineage: Eukaryota; Metazoa; Chordata; Actinopteri; Clupeiformes; Clupeidae. The record is from RefSeq and is a predicted model, not a curated record. The transcript has 3 exons.
GUCAAAUACUUCAGUAGCUACUACAGUAACUGAAUGGGCUUCUGAUCCAGUUUCUCUUUGUGUUGGACUCCUACAUCCAGAUCCUCCUCACGUCAGGAGAAGACACAGUAUGGAGAGAUAUGAACAAAACAUGGGAGGAGAGACUCCUGUAGAUGUGGGAGGAGAGAGUCCUGGUGGUUCCAGUGUAGCCGUCUGAAGGAGAGAAGAGGAGGAGGCUGGUGUGGUGGAAAAUAUGUGAACAGAAAAACUCAUAAACCAAUGUAUAAUAACCAGGGCUGGGCACGUUAACACGUUAUUAUUGCGUUAAAGUAACACUAUGCAACAAUUUGACACUUUAUGAGGUAUGCCUUUAUAGGCAACUAGUUUUGGUA